This 261-nucleotide ribosomal RNA is filed under the name uncultured bacterium. RNAcentral's name for it is "partial 16S ribosomal RNA". It matches the Rfam family "Bacterial small subunit ribosomal RNA", at positions 524 to 776 of the family's 1533-position model. The record is from RNAcentral.
UACGUAGGCAGCAAGCGUUGUUCGGAGUUACUGGGCGUAAAGGGUGUGUAGGCGGUUCUUUAAGUUUGCUGUGAAAUACUCCCGGCUUAACCGGGAGGUGCGGUGAAUGACUGAGGGACGUAGAGUACGGGAGAGGAAAGGUGGAAUUCCUGGAUGUGAGCGGGUGGAAAUACGGUAGAUAUCAGGAGGAACACCGGUGGUGUAGACGGCUUUCUGGACCGACACUGACGCUGAGACACGAAAGCGUGGGUAGCAAACAGG